GGAGGUAGUGACAAUAAAUCACAAUGCGGAACUUCUGUUUUGCAAUUGGAUUGAGAACAACGCACAACAUUUAUCGAUAAACAAUUGGAGGGCAAGUCUGGUGCCAGCAGCCGCGGUAAUUCCAGCUCCAAUAGCGUAUAUUAACGUUGUUGCAGUUAAAAAGCUCGUAGUUGAAGUGAAGUGUGAAUCUCUUGGAUUUUCGUUUGAAUUUCCUUUAGCUUCAUACUCUUUCCAAAUAGUUUGCAUGGGUAUUUACUUAUCUGUGUAUUGCAUUUGGUCAUUUACUGUGAGAAAAUUAGAGUGUUCAAAGCAUACGUUUGUUUGAAUACAUUAGCAUGGAAUAAUUCGAAAAGGCUUUCAUGUUCGAUUUGAUUGGUUUGUUCGUGAAGGCAAGAUUAAAAGGGACAGUUGGGGGUAUUCAUAUUCAAUAGUCAGAGGUGAAAUUCUCGGAUUUAUGGAAGAUGAACAAGUGCGAAAGCA
This 480-nucleotide ribosomal RNA is filed under the name Blastocystis sp. RNAcentral's name for it is "SSU rRNA". It matches the Rfam family "Eukaryotic small subunit ribosomal RNA", at positions 460 to 953 of the family's 1831-position model. RNAcentral also lists the same sequence under 1 other name. Lineage: Eukaryota; Bigyra; Opalinata; Blastocystidae. The record is from RNAcentral.